RNAcentral lists this ribosomal RNA (253 nucleotides) under uncultured bacterium. RNAcentral's name for it is "partial 16S ribosomal RNA". It matches the Rfam family "Bacterial small subunit ribosomal RNA", at positions 524 to 776 of the family's 1533-position model. The record is from RNAcentral.
UACGGGGGGGGCAAGCGUUGUUCGGAAUUACUGGGCGUAAAGGGCUCGUAGGCGGCCAACUAAGUCAGACGUGAAAUCCCUCGGCUUGACCGGGGAACUGCGUCUGAUACUGGAUGGCUUGAGUUCGGGAGAGGGAUGCGGAAUUCCAGGUGUAGCGGUGAAAUGCGUAGAUAUCUGGAGGAACACCGGUGGCGAAGGCGGCAUCCUGGACCGACACUGACGCUGAGGAGCGAAAGCCAGGGGAGCAAACGGG